CAGCAGCCGCUGUAAUACAGAGGGUGCGAGCGUUAAUCGGAUUUACUGGGCGUAAAGCGUGCGUAGGCGGCUUCUUAAGUCGGAUGUGAAAUCCCUGAGCUUAACUUAGGAAUUGCAUUCGAUACUGGGAAGCUAGAGUAUGGGAGAGGAUGGUAGAAUUCCAGGUGUAGCGGUGAAAUGCGUAGAGAUCUGGAGGAAUACCGAUGGCGAAGGCAGCCAUCUGGCCUAAUACUGACGCUGAGGUACGAAAGCAUGGGGAGCAAACAGGAUUAGAUACCCCAGUAGUCCCUGUCUUUAUACA
RNAcentral lists this ribosomal RNA (301 nucleotides) under uncultured bacterium. RNAcentral describes it as "partial 16S ribosomal RNA". It matches the Rfam family "Bacterial small subunit ribosomal RNA", at positions 509 to 809 of the family's 1533-position model. The record is from RNAcentral.